UACGUAGGGGGCGAGCGUUGUCCGGAUUUAUUGGGCGUAAAGAGCGUGUAGGCGGUUCGGUAAGUCUGUCGUGAAAUCCCGAGGCUCAACCUCGGGCGUGCGAUGGAUACUGCCGGGCUAGAGGAUGGUAGAGGCGAGUGGAAUUCCCGGUGUAGCGGUGAAAUGCGCAGAUAUCGGGAGGAACACCAGUAGCGAAGGCGGCUCGCUGGGCCAUUCCUGACGCUGAGACGCGAAAGCUAGGGGAGCGAACAGG
RNAcentral lists this ribosomal RNA (253 nucleotides) under uncultured bacterium. RNAcentral describes it as "partial 16S ribosomal RNA". It matches the Rfam family "Bacterial small subunit ribosomal RNA", at positions 524 to 776 of the family's 1533-position model. The record is from RNAcentral.